Molecule: ribosomal RNA, 253 nt
Filed under: uncultured bacterium
Lineage: Bacteria
Description: partial 16S ribosomal RNA
Rfam family: Bacterial small subunit ribosomal RNA
Source: RNAcentral
UACGUAGGGGGCAAGCGUUGUCCGGAAUCAUUGGGCGUAAAGCGCGUGUAGGCGGCCAAACAGGUCCGUUGUGAAAACUGGAGGCUCAACCUCCAGACGUCGACGGAAACCGUGUGGCUAGAGUCCGGAAGAGGAGAGUGGAAUUCCUGGUGUAGCGGUGAAAUGCGCAGAUAUCAGGAAGAACACCAAUGGCGAAGGCAGCUCUCUGGGACGGUACUGACGCUGAGACGCGAAAGCGUGGGGAGCGAACAGG